GAUGAACGCUAGCUACAGGCUUAACACAUGCAAGUCGAGGGGCAGCAUGGUCUUAGCUUGCUAAGGCCGAUGGCGACCGGCGCACGGGUGAGUAACACGUAUCCAACCUGCCGUCUACUCUUGGACAGCCUUCUGAAAGGAAGAUUAAUACAAGAUGGCAUCAUGAGUCCGCAUGUUCACAUGAUUAAAGGUAUUCCGGUAGACGAUGGGGAUGCGUUCCAUUAGAUAGUAGGCGGGGUAACGGCCCACCUAGUCUUCGAUGGAUAGGGGUUGUGAGAGGAAGGUGCCCCACAGUGGAACUGGGACACGGGCCAAACUCAUACGGGAGGCAGCAGUGAGGAAUAUUGGUCAAUGGGCGAGAGCCUGAACCAGCCAAGUAGCGUGAAGGAUGACUGCCCUAUGGGUUGUAAACUUCUUUUAGAAAGGAAUAAAGUCGGGUAUGGAUACCCGUUUGCAUGUACUUUAUGAAUAAGGAUCGGCUAACUCCGUG
Molecule: ribosomal RNA, 490 nt
Filed under: uncultured bacterium
Lineage: Bacteria
Description: partial 16S ribosomal RNA
Rfam family: Bacterial small subunit ribosomal RNA
Source: RNAcentral